This 771-nucleotide long non-coding RNA is filed under the name Homo sapiens (human). Its description in RNAcentral is "HSALNT0303208". Lineage: Eukaryota; Metazoa; Chordata; Mammalia; Primates; Hominidae. The record is from RNAcentral.
AGGCCUCUUAUUUAAAGAGUGCCUGAAGUGAGGAAGCAAACCCCCAAAUCAUCUGGGAUGGUAUGAACUGAACUCUGGACCGCAACAUGAUGGAAAGGAGGAGCUGGGGUCCCAAGGGCAGUCCAGACAACCUGAACCUGUGACACUCACCCUGCCCACACACUCUCAGAGCUGCAGCUUUCACGGGGGUGACAUGAAUGCUUGUAAAUGAGCUUGCUGAAUGGGAGACCAAGAACGAUGAUAUUGAGCUGUUACUACAUGCCAGACAUUUAACCCUUUCAUCCAGGUUAUCUCAAUCAUUCCUUACAGAAAGGCUUUUGAGAUGUCCUUGCAACUGGAGGUGCCAUAUGAUACAGUUCUGCCCAAAGACAAGAAAGUGAAUGUCUGUUGAGGGCUUCCUAUAAGGCCAAUACAUACAGGUGUUCCCAACAACAGGAGACCCACAGGUUUUUGAGAAUGUUAUACCAACAUUACCAGUUAUAUAAACACUGCCAGCUUGAAUCAAAAGGAAUAAAGGAUGAAUGGAGGAAGAUUGUUUUACUCCCCAAAUUCUACAAGCAAGAAACUGGCUGAUGAAACUACUCAGCUGCAAAUGUGUGUUACCCUUCAAGGAAAAGAAGGGAAAACCUUGGCAUCCAGUGAUGAUGAAUCAAUGCUGCUGACAGAUGCAUCGUGUUGGGAUCCCAAUCAUCUAAUUCUUCCAUCAACAGAAAUGACAGGUGCCUAUGUUAAAAAGGGAAGCUGUGAGCAUAAACCUUCAAAGACCUACAG